UUAAGAACCCUCAGUGCAAUCACUUGUCUGCAUUUGGAGUGAUUACACGGAAGGUUCUUUU
This 61-nucleotide microRNA precursor is filed under the name Murid gammaherpesvirus 4 (Murine herpesvirus 68). RNAcentral's name for it is "microRNA mghv-mir-M1 precursor (mghv-mir-M1-10)". Its record names the gene mghv-mir-M1-10. Lineage: Duplodnaviria; Heunggongvirae; Peploviricota; Herviviricetes; Herpesvirales; Orthoherpesviridae. The record is from miRBase by way of RNAcentral.